Molecule: ribosomal RNA, 26 nt
Filed under: Maratecoara lacortei
Lineage: Eukaryota; Metazoa; Chordata; Actinopteri; Cyprinodontiformes; Rivulidae
Description: partial 16S ribosomal RNA
Source: RNAcentral
UCCUAAUAGCUAGCUUAAACACCCAA